AAAAGCCAAAGAAAGCUUAACUUGGUUUUAUGAACUCCUCAUGCAUUUAAAUGGAUAGACAAAUAGACUGCUAAUUUAGCCCUGUAGCCAGGCUAAUGUUACUAGCUAAAUAACAGUCUCAUCCAAAUCACCAUGGCCCUGAUGAGUGACGUGAAGCUUGAGACAGGAUGAUCAUGGUGAAGAAGCAGACAGCCCAGAACUGAGGGCAGGGGAGCAGGGACACUGCCUGAGGGUACACUAUGAAGACCAGGCCAGGACCUUCAGC
Oncorhynchus keta (chum salmon) is the source of this 265-nucleotide long non-coding RNA. RefSeq lists it as uncharacterized. Lineage: Eukaryota; Metazoa; Chordata; Actinopteri; Salmoniformes; Salmonidae. The record is from RefSeq and is a predicted model, not a curated record. The transcript has 3 exons.